RNAcentral lists this unclassified non-coding RNA (21 nucleotides) under Mus musculus (house mouse). RNAcentral describes it as "oocyte_clustered_small_RNA2198". Lineage: Eukaryota; Metazoa; Chordata; Mammalia; Rodentia; Muridae. The record is from RNAcentral.
UAACUUCUGCCGGUCUCUAAG